This 489-nucleotide ribosomal RNA is filed under the name uncultured bacterium. RNAcentral's name for it is "bacterial SSU rRNA". It matches the Rfam family "Bacterial small subunit ribosomal RNA", at positions 29 to 507 of the family's 1533-position model. The record is from RNAcentral.
AGUGAACGCUGGCGGCAGGCCUAAUACAUGCAAGUCGAACGGCAGCACAGCAGAGCUUGCUCUGUGGGUGGCGAGUGGCGGACGGGUGAGGAAUACAUGGGAAUCUGCCCAGUCGUGGGGGAUAACGUAGGGAAACUUACGCUAAUACCGCAUGCGCCCUUCGGGGAAAGCCGGGGACCUUCGGGCCUGGCGCGAUUGGAUGAGCCCAUGUCGGAUUAGCUAGUUGGCGGGGUAAUGGCCCACCAAGGCGACGAUCCGUAGCUGGUCUGAGAGGAUGAUCAGCCACACUGGAACUGAGACACGGUCCAGACUCCUACGGGAGGCAGCAGUAGGGAAUAUUGGACAAUGGGCGCAAGCCUGAUCCAGCCAUGCCGCGUGAGUGAAGAAGGCCCUCGGGUUGUAAAGCUCUUUUGUCCGGAAAGAAAAGCGCCGGGUUAAUACCCUGGUGUCCUGACGGUACCGGAAGAAUAAGCACCGGCUAACUUCGUG